GGCUAGUCUAAAUGCAGUGGUGUUUAUAACUAAUUGAUCACAACCAGUUACAGAUUUCUUUGUUCUUUGUCCACUCCCACUGCUUCACUUAACUAGCCUUAA
Molecule: Y RNA, 102 nt
Organism: Callithrix jacchus (white-tufted-ear marmoset)
Lineage: Eukaryota; Metazoa; Chordata; Mammalia; Primates; Cebidae
Rfam family: Y RNA
About the family: Y RNAs are components of the Ro ribonucleoprotein particle (Ro RNP), in association with Ro60 and La proteins. The Y RNAs and Ro60 and La proteins are well conserved, but the function of the Ro RNP is not known. In humans the RNA component can be one of four small RNAs -- hY1, hY3, hY4 and hY5.
Source: Ensembl